GGAGGGUGCAAGCGUCAAUCGGAAUUACUGGGCGUAAAGCGCACGCAGGCGGUUGGAUAAGUUAGAUGUGAAAGCCCCGGGCUCAACCUGGGAAUUGCAUUUAAAACUGUCCAGCUAGAGUCUUGUAGAGGGGGGUAGAAUUCCAGGUGUAGCGGUGAAAUGCGUAGAGAUCUGGAGGAAUACCGGUGGCGAAGGCGGCCCCCUGGACAAAGACUGACGCUCAGGUGCGAAAGCGUGGGGAGCAAACAGGAUUAGAUACCCUGGUAGUCCACGCCGUAAACGAUGUCGAUUUGGAGGCUGUGUCCUUGAGACGUGGCUUCCGGAGCUAACGCGUUAAAUCGACCGCCUGGGGAGUACGGCCGCAAGGUUA
RNAcentral lists this ribosomal RNA (370 nucleotides) under uncultured bacterium. Its description in RNAcentral is "bacterial SSU rRNA". It matches the Rfam family "Bacterial small subunit ribosomal RNA", at positions 527 to 896 of the family's 1533-position model. The record is from RNAcentral.